UAGGUUGUGGAUACCCGUGCAUUAGUUGUACCUUUAUUUCAUCUCUUGUAUAUAACGAAAAGGAUGCAUUUUGGGAGAUAAAAUUGUAUAUAAAGACAGAUGUAAAAGAUUUGUAUUUUGGUUAGAUGUAAUCAAGUUUAGUGAAUGGAUGUAAUAGUUAGGAUUUACUUUGUAAGGUAUCGGACUUCUAAAAUUAUGAAGUUACGGUGCGAUGUAAUGUGUGAAUUUUAAAUGUAAAAGUGAAAAUAAAUAAAAAUAGUAUGAGAUACUAUUUUUAUUGGAUUUAGAGAAGUGAAAUAUAUGUUGGGAAUGACCUGUGCUGAAAUCGAAGCGAAAACAGAAUAUUUAGAAUUUCCUGUGUGAAACGGGACGGAUAAAUUAGCAGAAAAUGCACAGUGUCAGAAAAUUAUGAAAACUGGAGGAUAAGUCAGAAUUAUUUUUACGAGGUUAGAUUUAAAGUUUCAGCCCAUUCUAACACCUGGAAGGUGAAAAAUAAAAUCCGACAGUUAUCUGAUAAAGAUUACAAUUCGGUACAGAUUUUGGUGACCAAACGGGGUCGAAACUGAAAGAUUAAAAUUUCUUUCGUUAAGUUAAGCAAAACCGAACAUGACUGUCAAAUUUGAGCUCAAACGGAUAUUCAGGGAGCUCCGACGAAAAAUAUCAGAUUUGGAGCUGCCUGAUGUGAAUAGUAUAUGCUACUAUUGAGGGUUGACUAUAAGUAGAAGCUUCUAGUGACUUGGCUUCUUCUUCACAGCCAAGCACCACCCCCACAAGAGCACGUUCAUGGUGGUAGUGAGAGAAAUCCUCACUUUCUCUCUCUAAAUAACUCUCUCAUCUCUCUAGAUCUUUCGCCUAAAUUCGCGGCGUUGGCGGAGAACGAGCUUACGAACGCAUUGGGAGCGACGGAUCGAGUUUUCGUGCGCCCGUUGGAGCGGCGUGCUUCCGUCUCGGCAUUCAUAUUUUGGUAAGCUAUCGGGAUUUGGCUUAAUCCUUAAGUUUAAGUGUUCUAAUAGCCUCUAAUGUGAAGUUAGCUUGUUAAAUCCUUAAUAUUUGGAUUGUUUGGAGCAUAUGUUGAGGCUAGGGUGUGAAAAUGGGGGUUUACAAAUUAGGUGGGGUUUGAUCUAAUUUGACCCUUCGUAAACCUAAUUGCAAGGUAAACGAACGCGUUGGCGAAGUCGGUUCGGCGAUUCGUCGAGCCGUUGUAAAGUUAUUAAAGAAACGGUCGUUUAGGCUUCGUUUCCGCCUGGAGGGCCGAGGCGACAUCGUAUACUCAUGAAAACGGAUUUGAAGCAUCGUGGCACAUAACCGAAGACCUUUAAUUUUCGGAUCGUGAAUUGGAGGCCGUUCGGGUGGUCGCGCGAGAGAUCGGGCCAAACCGGGUGCCGGGUGCCGCGGGAGGCCGAUUGCAAGUGUCGACAAGCAAUCGGAAUGCGAUAAAAGGUGGGGGGUGUCAUCCCGAAGCAACUGAGCUUCCUUUUAUGUCUAAGUUCUAUAUCUUGAUCAUAUUCCUAUAUGUUGAUAUAUUGUGCAUUAUAGGAUUAGUAGAUGAUUACAUUUCCAUUCCUUGCAUGUUACCUAGGUUGUGUAGCAUUGUGGGCUUGACACUUGAUCUUAGGUUGCAUGAGGAUUGGGUCUUGUGACAAGAAUCCUAUAGUGACAAGAAUGAUGAUGAACUUUGACAUGUAAUUGGCCUAGACGAGUGGCAUUUGAACUAGUGUAACAAAGACACUAUAAUAUUGACGAGUGGCAUGUCGAUUUAGUGUAUUAAGACACAUAUAACAUCAUGACAUAGACGAGUGGCAUCAAAUCUAGUGUAGUGGAACACUAUGGCAUUUGAACCUAGGGAUAGUAGAUUUUCCCGAUUGUCAUGUUGUAGACAUUAUGCAUUUGGCAUUAGUGCAUUUGAGGCAUUGAUUAUGCAUUUGGCAUUAGUGCAUUUGAGGCAUUGAUUAUGCAUUUGGUAUUGUGCAGCAGAGGCACAUUGACCCUGGUAGAUAGGGUAUCCUCGUAAGAGGAUUGGAUCAUACUCACUAGUCUGUUUUUACUUGUCGGUGGUCGCUCCACCGAGGCACGAGUCUCCGGAGUACUUCACUAGGGGCAGACGUAGUUGUCCCGCAGGCGGUCUCGGUGUGCGAGUGCAGCUUCUCCUCACCUAUGAGAUUGAGAGUGAGUCGAGGGCGUAACCUUCGGGUUAGCCAAGCAGAUUGGGUAAAGAAUAUGAAUGGCGUAGCAGAUUUGCAUUCAUACCUUGAAUUGACAUUGAGACAUAGUAGCAUGUUGUAGAUACAUCACUAUGUAGUAGCUUAUUUCCUUAUUGUUGAGACAUAGUAGCAUGUUGUAGAUACAUCACUAUGUAGUAGUUCAUUUUCUUAUUGUUGAGACAUAGUAGCAUGUUGUAGAUACAUCACUAUGUAGUAGCUCACUUCCUUAUUGUUGAGACAUAGUAGCAUGUGUAGAGACAUCACUAUGUAGUAGCUCAUUUCCUUAUUGUUGAGACAUAGUAGCAUAUUGUAGAUACAUUACUAUGUAGUAACUCAUUUCCACUAUUGUUGAAGCAUAGUAUCAUGAUUAGUAGAAUAUCAUUGCUAUGUUCAUGCAUUCCAUGAUUACAGAGGCAUAGUAGCAUGUGUAUAUUCCAUUACUAUGUAGCAGCUCGUACCUAGUAGAGCGAGAUUGAGUCGGGCGAGGAGCGGGGUAGCUCUUUGCCUAGGACCUUCGAGAUUGAGUCGGGCAAGGAGCGGGGUAGCUCUUUGUCUAGGACCUUUGAGAUUUGAGAUCUUAGGCAAGUUGGCCUAGUCGAUUGGGUUGUAACAUGAAUAGCAUAAGUGGAUUGCAUUCAUGCCAUGAUUGGACAUAGUAGACUGCAUAACUAUGUUGUAGUUGUAUUUAUUACACUGUUGAAGCAUACUAGCAUGAUAGUAGGUUAUUGCUAGAUGAUGUUCCAUGCAUUCUUUGCAUUUGAUGGCAUAGUAGAUAUAGUAGCAAUGUAUUUCUAUCUACCUUUCUAUCUAUCUAUCUGUGCCAGCUUAGACCUAGUGGGAAAACCGGCGGCGUCGGCGGCCGAACCCACUGGGAACUAUAUUUAUAUAGUUCUCACCCCGUGUGGUUUUGGGGUACAG
This 3119-nucleotide long non-coding RNA is filed under the name Ananas comosus (pineapple). RNAcentral describes it as "long non-coding RNA (ACOM_LNC028286)". The record is from RNAcentral. Lineage: Eukaryota; Viridiplantae; Streptophyta; Magnoliopsida; Poales; Bromeliaceae.